RNAcentral lists this transfer RNA (73 nucleotides) under Streptococcus pneumoniae. RNAcentral describes it as "tRNA-Asp(gtc)". It matches the Rfam family "tRNA". From Rfam's summary of the family: Transfer RNA (tRNA) molecules are approximately 80 nucleotides in length. Their secondary structure includes four short double-helical elements and three loops (D, anti-codon, and T loops). Further hydrogen bonds mediate the characteristic L-shaped molecular structure. tRNAs have two regions of fundamental functional importance: the anti-codon, which is responsible for specific mRNA codon recognition, and the 3' end, to which the tRNAs corresponding amino acid is attached (by aminoacyl-tRNA synthetases). tRNAs cope with the degeneracy of the genetic code in two manners: having more than one tRNA (with a specific anti-codon) for a particular amino acid; and 'wobble' base-pairing, i.e. permitting non-standard base-pairing at the 3rd anti-codon position. The record is from RNAcentral. Lineage: Bacteria; Bacillati; Bacillota; Bacilli; Lactobacillales; Streptococcaceae.
GGUCCCGUAGUGUAGCGGUUCUCACGUCGCCCUGUCACGGCGAAGAUCGCGGGUUCGAUUCCCGUCGGGACCG